Molecule: ribosomal RNA, 640 nt
Filed under: uncultured Actinomycetes bacterium
Lineage: Bacteria; Bacillati; Actinomycetota; Actinomycetes
Description: bacterial SSU rRNA
Rfam family: Bacterial small subunit ribosomal RNA
Source: RNAcentral
CGCGGCCUAUCAGCUUGUUGGCGGGGUAACGGCCCACCAAGGCUACGACGGGUAGCUGGUUUGAGAGAACGAUCAGCCACACUGGAACUGAGACACGGUCCAGACUCCUACGGGAGGCAGCAGUGGGGAAUCUUGCGCAAUGGGCGAAAGCCUGACGCAGCAACGCCGCGUGCGGGAUGAAGGCCUUCGGGUUGUAAACCGCUUUCAGCAGGGACGAAAAUGACGGUACCUGCAGAAGAAGCUCCGGCCAACUACGUGCCAGCAGCCGCGGUGAUACGUAGGGAGCAAGCGUUGUCCGGAAUUACUGGGCGUAAAGGGCUCGUAGGUGGUUGAGUAAGUCAGAUGUGAAAUCUCAGGGCCCAACCCUGAGCCUGCAUUUGAUACUGCUCUGACUAGAGUCCGGUAGGGGAGUGCGGGACUCCUGGUGUAGCGGUGAAAUGCGCAGAUAUCAGGAAGAACACCGACAGCGAAGGCAGCACUCUGGGCCGGUACUGACACUGAGGAGCGAAAGCAUGGGUAGCAAACAGGAUUAGAUACCCUGGUAGUCCAUGCCGUAAACGUUGGGCACUAGGUGUGGGGAGAACUCAACUCUCUCUGCGCCGUAGCUAACGCAUUAAGUGCCCCGCCUGGGGAGUACGGA